RNAcentral lists this ribosomal RNA (253 nucleotides) under uncultured bacterium. Its description in RNAcentral is "partial 16S ribosomal RNA". It matches the Rfam family "Bacterial small subunit ribosomal RNA", at positions 524 to 776 of the family's 1533-position model. The record is from RNAcentral.
UACGUAGGGUGCAAGCGUUGUCCGGAAUUAUUGGGCGUAAAGAGCUCGUAGGCGGUCUGUCGCGUCGGAUGUGAAAACCCAGGGCUCAACCCUGGGCCUGCAUUCGAUACGGGCAGACUAGAGUUCGGUAGGGGAGACUGGAAUUCCUGGUGUAGCGGUGAAAUGCGCAGAUAUCAGGAGGAACACCGGUGGCGAAGGCGGGUCUCUGGGCCGAAACUGACGCUGAGGAGCGAAAGCGAGGGGAGCAAACAGG